RNAcentral lists this transfer RNA (69 nucleotides) under Pristimantis yumbo. Its description in RNAcentral is "tRNA-Ile". The record is from RNAcentral. Lineage: Eukaryota; Metazoa; Chordata; Amphibia; Anura; Strabomantidae.
GGAAGUGUGCCCGAUAAUAGGAAACUCCUUGAUAGGGAGAACCAUGUGGGUUUGACCCCCUCCACUUCC